GAUGAACGCCGGCGGCGUGCCUAAUACAUGCAAGUCGAGCGAACGGACGAGAAGCUUGCUUUUCUGAUGUUAGCGGCGGACGGGUGAGUAACACGUGGAUAACCUACCUAUAAGACUGGGAUAACUUCGGGAAACCGGAGCUAAUACCGGAUAAUAUUUUGAACCGCAUGGUUCAUAAGUGAAAGACGGUCUUGCUGUCACUUAUAGAUGGAUCCGCGCUGCAUUAGCUAGUUGGUAAGGUAACGGCUUACCAAGGCAACGAUGCAUAGCCGACCUGAGAGGGUGAUCGGCCACACUGGAACUGAGACACGGUCCAGACUCCUACGGGAGGCAGCAGUAGGGAAUCUUCCGCAAUGGGCGAAAGCCUGACGGAGCAACGCCGCGUGAGUGAUGAAGGUCUUCGGAUCGUAAAACUCUGUUAUUAGGGAAGAACAUAUGUGUAAGUAACUGUGCACAUCUUGACGGUACCUAAUCAGAAAGCCACGGCUAACUACGUG
RNAcentral lists this ribosomal RNA (497 nucleotides) under uncultured bacterium. RNAcentral's name for it is "partial 16S ribosomal RNA". It matches the Rfam family "Bacterial small subunit ribosomal RNA", at positions 28 to 507 of the family's 1533-position model. The record is from RNAcentral.